GGGGGUGUCAUGGUUUCGACUGAAAAAAGUAGGAUGGCAUGGCGUGCCGGAGAUGGAUGGUUAGCUCCGUUAACAAUCUAUCCGAUGUCAUGAAAUGGCAAAAACAAAAAGGGAAAACUGGUUAAGGGGUUAUUCGGCCGCAAGGCUCGCAUGGCUGCUUAACCGGUGAGGUUGUCAGGGAUGGCAGCCCGUCGCGUCAUUUGACGGUCCGCUAGGAUGGCGCGGCGUCUGGUAGCGGGCGAGGACGUGGAAGGCGCGCUUCCCCCACGUUUUGAUUAAGGCGCUCGUCCCGUGGGAAUUUGCCGUUGGAAUUCCAGGGGAUCAGAUGCUAAGCAUCGGCUACACACGUAGAUGUGCCAUCUGUGGGUUUUUAGGACGUGGGUUCGACUCCCACCACCUCCACCA
RNAcentral lists this transfer-messenger RNA (405 nucleotides) under Puniceicoccales bacterium. It matches the Rfam family "transfer-messenger RNA". From Rfam's summary of the family: Bacterial tmRNA, also known as 10Sa RNA or SsrA, is named for its dual tRNA and mRNA-like properties. Its role is to liberate the mRNA from a stalled ribosome. To accomplish this part of the tmRNA is used as a reading frame that ends in a translation stop signal. Lineage: Bacteria; Pseudomonadati; Verrucomicrobiota; Opitutia; Puniceicoccales. The record is from RNAcentral.